GACGAACCGUGCGAGCGUUGUUCGGAAUCACUGGGCAUAAAGGGCGCGUAGGCGGGCCGUCAAGUCAGGGGUGAAAUCCUCCAGCUUAACUGGAGAACUGCCUUUGAUACUGACGGCCUCGAGUGAGGUAGGGGCGUGCGGAACUGAUGGUGGAGCGGUGAAAUGUGUUGAUAUCAUCAGGAACUCCGGUGGCGAAAGCGGCACGCUGGACCUUUACUGACGCUGAGGCGCGAAAGCUAGGGGAGCGAACGGG
This 253-nucleotide ribosomal RNA is filed under the name uncultured bacterium. RNAcentral describes it as "partial 16S ribosomal RNA". It matches the Rfam family "Bacterial small subunit ribosomal RNA", at positions 524 to 776 of the family's 1533-position model. The record is from RNAcentral.